RNAcentral lists this non-coding RNA (126 nucleotides) under Bos grunniens (domestic yak). Lineage: Eukaryota; Metazoa; Chordata; Mammalia; Artiodactyla; Bovidae. The record is from RNAcentral. RNAcentral also lists the same sequence under 1 other name.
GUGUUGUAUGAAAGGAGAGAAUGUUGGCACUCCCCUUGAUAAGGAUGGAAGAGACUCUCGGACCUAACAAUAUGCAUACGGUUAAGGCAUUGCCACCUACUUUGUGGCAUCUAACCACUCUUGGGC